AGAGUUUGAUCAUGGCUCAGAUUGAACGCUGGCGGCAGGCCUAACACAUGCAAGUCGAACGGUAGCACAGAGAGCUUGCUCUCGGGUGACGAGUGGCGGACGGGUGAGUAAUGUCUGGGAAACUGCCUGAUGGAGGGGGAUAACUACUGGAAACGGUAGCUAAUACCGCAUAGCGUCGCAAGACCAAAGAGGGGGACCUUCGGGCCUCUUGCCAUCAGAUGUGCCCAGAUGGGAUUAGCUAGUAGGUGGGGUAACGGCUCACCUAGGCGACGAUCCCUAGCUGGUCUGAGAGGAUGACCAGCCACACUGGAACUGAGACACGGUCCAGACUCCUACGGGAGGCAGCAGUGGGGAAUAUUGCACAAUGGGCGCAAGCCUGAUGCAGCCAUGCCGCGUGUAUGAAGAAGGCCUUCGGGUUGUAAAGUACUUUCAGCGGGGAGGAAGGUGUUGUGGUUAAUAACCACAGCAAUUGACGUUACCCGCAGAAGAAGCACCGGCUAACUCCGUGCCAGCAGCCGCGGUAAUACGGAGGGUGCAAGCGUUAAUCGGAAUUACUGGGCGUAAAGCGCACGCAGGCGGUCUGUCAAGUCGGAUGUGAAAUCCCCGGGCUCAACCUGGGAACUGCAUUCGAAACUGGCAGGCUGGAGUCUUGUAGAGGGGGGUAGAAUUCCAGGUGUAGCGGUGAAAUGCGUAGAGAUCUGGAGGAAUACCGGUGGCGAAGGCGGCCCCCUGGACAAAGACUGACGCUCAGGUGCGAAAGCGUGGGGAGCAAACAGGAUUAGAUACCCUGCUAGUCCACGCCGUACACGAUGUCGAUUUGGAGGUUGUGCCCUUGAGGCGUGGCUUCCGGAGCUAACGCGUUAAAUCGACCGCCUGGGGAGUACGGCCGCAAGGUUAAAACUCAAAUGAAUUGACGG
Molecule: ribosomal RNA, 917 nt
Filed under: uncultured bacterium
Lineage: Bacteria
Description: bacterial SSU rRNA
Rfam family: Bacterial small subunit ribosomal RNA
Source: RNAcentral